Molecule: ribosomal RNA, 521 nt
Filed under: uncultured bacterium
Lineage: Bacteria
Description: bacterial SSU rRNA
Rfam family: Bacterial small subunit ribosomal RNA
Source: RNAcentral
UGGGGAAUAUUGGACAAUGGGCGCAAGCCUGAUCCAGCCAUGCCGCGUGAGUGAUGAAGGCCCUAGGGUUGUAAAGCUCUUUUGUGCGGGAAGAUAAUGACGGUACCGCAAGAAUAAGCCCCGGCUAACUUCGUGCCAGCAGCCGCGGUAAUACGAAGGGGGCUAGCGUUGCUCGGAAUCACUGGGCGUAAAGGGUGCGUAGGCGGGUCUUUAAGUCAGGGGUGAAAUCCUGGAGCUCAACUCCAGAACUGCCUUUGAUACUGAGGAUCUUGAGUUCGGGAGAGGUGAGUGGAACUGCGAGUGUAGAGGUGAAAUUCGUAGAUAUUCGCAAGAACACCAGUGGCGAAGGCGGCUCACUGGCCCGAUACUGACGCUGAGGCACGAAAGCGUGGGGAGCAAACAGGAUUAGAUACCCUGGUAGUCCACGCUGUAAACGAUGUGCGCUAGACGUUGGAGGGCGUAGCCUUCCGGUGUCGCAGCUAACGCUUUAGGCGCACCGCCUGGGGAGUACGGCCGCAAGG